UGUUUCGGCUAGGGGGCCAUCCCGGCUUACCAACCCGAUGCAAACUGCGAAUACCGGAGAAUGUUAUCACGGGAGACACACGGCGGGUGCUAACGUCCGUCGUGAAGAGGGAAACAACCCAGACCGCCAGCUAAGGUCCCAAAGUCAUGGUUAAGUGGGAAACGAUGUGGGAAGGCCCAGACAGCCAGGAUGUUGGCUUAGAAGCAGCCAUCAUUUAAAGAAAGCGUAAUAGCUCACUGGUCGAGUCGGCCUGCGCGGAAGAUGUAACGGGGCUAAACCAUGCACCGAAGCUGCGGCAGCGACGCUGAUGCGUUGUUGGGUAGGGGAGCGUUCUGUAAGCCUG
RNAcentral lists this ribosomal RNA (343 nucleotides) under Salmonella enterica subsp. enterica serovar Oranienburg. Its description in RNAcentral is "partial 23S ribosomal RNA". It matches the Rfam family "Bacterial large subunit ribosomal RNA", at positions 911 to 1251 of the family's 2925-position model. RNAcentral also lists the same sequence under 10 other names. Lineage: Bacteria; Pseudomonadati; Pseudomonadota; Gammaproteobacteria; Enterobacterales; Enterobacteriaceae. The record is from RNAcentral.